RNAcentral lists this microRNA precursor (237 nucleotides) under Genlisea aurea. Its description in RNAcentral is "MIR159 microRNA precursor family". It matches the Rfam family "MIR159 microRNA precursor family". The record is from Rfam by way of RNAcentral. Lineage: Eukaryota; Viridiplantae; Streptophyta; Magnoliopsida; Lamiales; Lentibulariaceae.
GGAGUUUAAAGGGUGCUUCGUUCAGUCCAGCCAGGAGUGAGAUGAAAGGGGGGGCUGAAUUAGCUGCCGACUCAUUCACUUAACCACGUUAUCCACAUCUGUAAUGGCGGCAGAAGAAGAAGAAGAAGAAAAAAAAAAAAAUGGGGGGUUUUGGGGUUGAGUGAAGGGAUGCGGCAGAUAGUUUCAUGUCCCUCUCCCUCCUUGCUUGGACUGAAGGGAGCUCCUUUUUCUUUCUCC